GUCGUGAGAUGUUGGGUUAAGUCCCGCAACGAGCGCAACCCUUGUCCCUAGUUGCUACGCAAGGGCACUCUAGGGAGACUGCCGGUGACAAACCGGAGGAAGGUGGGGAUGACGUCAAGUCCUCAUGGCCCUUAUGGGUAGGGCUUCACACGUCAUACAAUGGCCGGUACAGAGGGUUGCCAAAGCGCGAGCUGGAGCCAAUCCCUUGAAAGCCGGUCGUAGUCCGGAUUGCAGUCUGCAACUCGACUGCAUGAAGUCGGAAUCGCUAGUAAUCGCGGAUCAGCAUGCCGCGGUGAAUACGUUCCCGGGUCUUGUACACACCGCCCGUCACACCAUGGGAGUGGGGUGAACCAGAAGUAGGUAGGCUAACCGCAAGGGGGCCGCUUACCACGGUCUGCUUCAUGACUGGGGUGAAGUCGUAACAAGGUAGCCGUAUCGGAAGGUGCGGCUGGAUCACCUCCUUUCUCGGCAUCGCGCAUAAGCUAUGUGCGUCGCCAGGUCGUAGUGCCCACGCCUAUCGGUUGCUAGUGAUGCGAGCUUGAGACAAGCGGGCCUGUAGCUCAGUUGGUUAGAGCACCGUCUUGAUAAGGCGGGGGUCGAUGGUUCGAAUCCAUCCAGACCCACCAGUCAGGUAUCAGAGGUCAGGCAUCAGGCAUCAGUACGGGAACGGCCCGGCGAGCGGUGUUUGCUGAUCCCUGAUCCCUGAUUCCUGAUACCUGACCUCUGACGGGGGCUGUAGCUCAAUUGGGAGAGCGCCUGCUUUGCAAGCAGGAGGUCGUCGGUUCGAUCCCGUCCAGCUCCACCACGUUGCGGUGCAAGGAGAGCAGAAGAAGAGACCUUGCGUGAAACACGGCUCGCGCGUCGAGCGCACAUCAAGAGUCCAUAACCAAGCAGCGCCAGGAUGGCGCGGUUUGGUUCUGGCUUCUUGGCCAGCAUCGGUUGCUCUUUAACAAUCCGGAAGAAGUAAAGCGAAAUCUCGCUCGAGACAAUGAGUGCGGGAGGGUGGUGUUCAGCCUGCCUGUGCGAGUUCUCUCCUCGAGUGAGAUUUGGGUUUGAUUGUAUCGAUCUCUGCUCUUUCUAGUCGGGAGGGCAGGGACUACGCAAACACCUUUGAUGGUUGGUGCUGCUGUGUCAGGGCAGUGCCGAGCGUUAUGGGGUCAAGCGACUAAGUGCAUGUGGUGGAUGCCUUGGCGAUCACAGGCGAUGAAGGACGUGGCAGCCUGCGAAAAGCUGCGGGGAGCUGGCAAACGAGCAUUGAUCCGCAGAUGU
This 1269-nucleotide small RNA is filed under the name uncultured beta proteobacterium. Its description in RNAcentral is "bacterial SSU rRNA". The stretch from base 1 to 464 matches the Rfam family "Bacterial small subunit ribosomal RNA", at positions 1064 to 1533 of the family's 1533-position model. The record is from RNAcentral. Lineage: Bacteria; Pseudomonadati; Pseudomonadota; Betaproteobacteria.